RNAcentral lists this non-coding RNA (28 nucleotides) under Homo sapiens (human). Lineage: Eukaryota; Metazoa; Chordata; Mammalia; Primates; Hominidae. The record is from RNAcentral.
CAGGAGCACUGCAAGGGAAUGAUUGCGC